CCUACGGGCGGCUGCAGUGGGGAAUAUUGCACAAUGGGGGAAACCCUGAUGCAGCGACGCCGCGUGAGUGAAGAAGUAUUUCGGUAUGUAACGCUCUAUCAGCAGGGAAGAAAAUGACGGUACCUGACUAAGAAGCCCCGGCUAACUACGUGCCACCAGCCGCGGCAAUACGUAGGGGGCAAGCGUUAUCCGGAUUUACUGGGGGUAAAGGGAGCGUAGACGGCAGAGCAAGUCUGAAGUGAAAGCCCGCGGCCCAACUGCGGGACUGCUUUGGAAACUGCCCGGCUAGAUUGCGGGAGAGGGAAGCGGAAUUCCUAGUGUAGCGGUGGAAUGCGUAGAUAUUAGGAGGAACACCAGUGGCGAAGGCGGCUUACUGGACAGUAACUGACGUUGAGGCUCGAAAGCGUGGGGAGCGAACAGGAUUAGAUACCCCUGUAGUC
Molecule: ribosomal RNA, 440 nt
Filed under: uncultured bacterium
Lineage: Bacteria
Description: partial 16S ribosomal RNA
Rfam family: Bacterial small subunit ribosomal RNA
Source: RNAcentral